AAGUUAAUAUUAGAUGCGAGCAUAUCAGUUGGCUUUGCCAUUAUAUGCCUAGAUAAACCAAUUAUGAAAUAAUGAAUUAGUAUCUAAAAUUAGACCCGAAGCCUGGUGAUCUUACUACAGUCAGGGUUAUAAAAGCCCGAACGGUUUAUCGUUGUAAAGAUAUCCGAAGAACUGUGGUAAGUUAGUGAAAGACAAAACUGACUAGGAUA
This 209-nucleotide ribosomal RNA is filed under the name Gremmeniella abietina. Its description in RNAcentral is "partial large subunit ribosomal RNA". It matches the Rfam family "Bacterial large subunit ribosomal RNA", at positions 626 to 845 of the family's 2925-position model. The record is from RNAcentral. Lineage: Eukaryota; Fungi; Ascomycota; Leotiomycetes; Helotiales; Godroniaceae.